Molecule: long non-coding RNA, 4148 nt
Filed under: Sus scrofa (pig)
Lineage: Eukaryota; Metazoa; Chordata; Mammalia; Artiodactyla; Suidae
Description: lncRNA (ENSSSCG00065057835.1)
Source: RNAcentral
AAGGAUGAACAAGAAAUUUUAUUAUGCAGUUUUAUAAAAAGAUUGGUGAUAAGUGUUAAAUCUGCAAAGGUAUAUUGAUGUGUAAUUAUCUAUAACUUAACAGUGAGACUGAGGAUUAUAUAAAAACGGAAUACAACAAUAUUCAAAAAAUAUCAGCAAGCCAAAAUCAGUAAUACAUAAAAAGAAUCAUAUACCAUGAUCAAGUUGGACUUAAUUCUAGAUGUACAGGCAGAGUUCAAUAUCCACAUAUCAAUCAGCAUGAUCCAUUACAUUAACAAAAUGGAUAAGAAAUUAUAUAAUUAUCUCAUAUUUUUUAAAAAAAGCAUUUGAAAAAGUCAAGAUCCUUUUAUGAGAAAAUAGUUCACCAAAAGGUGCAUAGAGGUUACAUACUUCAACAGAAAAAGGUCAUAUAUGAUAUGACAAACUUACAGUUAACAUCAUACUCAAUGGAAAACAACCAACCAACCAAAACAUCUGACAGCUUUUCCUCUAAGAUCAGGUACAAGAAAAGGAUGUUCGCACUUUGACACUUUUAUUCAACAUGAUGUUGGAAGUCCUCAUCACAGCAAUCAGACGUGAAGAAGAAAUAAAAGCCAUCCAACUUGGAAAGGAAGAAGUAAAACUGUCACUCUUUGCAGAUGACAUGAUACUAUAUAUAGAAAACCCUAAAGACUACCCCCCAAAAUGACUAAACUAAUAAAUGAAUUCAGUAAAGUUUCAGGACACAAAAUCUGUUGCAUUUCUGUAUACUAAUUGCAAACUCUCAGACAGAGAAAUUAAGAAAACAGUGCCAUUUAGCAUUGCUUCAAAACAAUAAAAUGAGGAGUACUGUCACUCUUUGCAUGGAAACGAAUCUGACUAAUAACCAUGAGAUUGCAGGUUUGAUCCCUGGCCUUGCUCAAUGGGUUAGGGAUCUGGCAUUGCUGUGAGCUGUGGUGUAGGUCACAGACGUGACAUAUCCCAUGUUACUGUGGCUGUGAUGUAGUCUGGCAUGUGUAGCUCCAAUUCGACCCCCUGGCCUGGGAACCUCCAUACACUGCAAUGCGGGCCUAAAAAAGCAAAAUAAAUAAAUAAAUAAACAAUAAUAAUAAUAAUAAAAUGAUAAAUUUUACCAAGGAAGUAAAAGAUAAAAGACCUGUACUCUAAAACUAUAAGACAUUGAACGCAAAUAAAUGGAAACAUGUUACCAUGUUCUUGAUUGGACAAAACAAUAUUGUUAAAAUUUCCAUACUACCAAAAGCAAUAUACAAAUUCAAUGCAAUCUGUAUAAAAUAGUCAUGGCAUAUUUCACAAAAUUAAAACACAUAAUCCUAACAUUUAUAUGGAACCACAAAAGAACUUGAAUAGCCAAAGCAAUCUUGAGAAAGAAGGAUGAAACUAGAGGUAUCAUGCUCCUGGAAAUCAAACUACACUACAAAUCUACAGUAAUCAAAACUAUGAUAGGGAGUUCCCUAGUGUCUCAGUAGGUUAAAAGUCUGGCAUUGUCACCACUGUAGCUCAGGUCACCACUGUGGCCCAAGUUUGAUCCACACUCCAGAGACUUCUGCAUGCCAUGGAAGUGGCAAAAACAAACAAACAAACAAAAAACCUGUAUGGUACUAACACAGACAAAACAGGCACAUGGGUCAAUGGAAUAGGAUAGAGUGCCCAGGAAGAAACAGCCUUAUAUACAAUGGGGAAAAGACAUUCUUUUCAAUAAAUUGUGUUAAGAAGCCUGGACAGCUACAAGCGAAAGAGUGAAACUAGACCACUUUUUUCCACUACAUACCAAAAUAAACUGAAAAUGGAUUAAUGACUUAAAUGCAAUAUCCCAAAUCGUAAAACUUUGUGAAAAAAAAGCAUAAACAGUGAGCUUUUUGACAAACCACAAACCUACUUUAGACAUACAUUUAUUGAACAACUACUAAUUUUUUUUUCAUGUUUUAUCAGGAACAAACAAGAAUGUAAUCAAUUUAUCAAGUAGACUACAAACCACACUCAUCUGAAUCUAGUGUUUAUAAUUUUCCAUCUAAUUUCAGAUGACCCAACUUCCACCACUUCACAAUAACCCUUAAUCUGCCACAAUUCUAAUGCCCACUUCUGCAAGUAAUCUUCAAGUGUUUUUCAAGUUAAAGUAACAUAUUUACUAUGGUUUGUAUUUUUAAGCAUAUGGCAUAUGUAAACUUAUGCUACUAUUUUCCACUAUAUUUUUAUAUAACGCUGAUGAUUUUUUGAGUGUUUUCUUCCCAGUCCCCAUUUUGCCCAUACCUCUUUGGUUUUUACUGAGUGAUUAUUUCACAGAAAAGAGAUUUCUAGAAAUAAUCAUGUGUUUUAUAUCUUAAAAUACUUUACAGGAAAUAGUUAAAUUUUACCUAUUUUUUCUGUAUACUGAUGCAGUUCUAAUUAAAUCAGGAGAAUUUGUGUGCACAUAUAAGCCUGUGUGUGUGCGUGUGUGUGUGUAAAUUGGCAACUGUUAUAAAUUUAUAUAAAAAUGCAAAGAUUCAGGGCCAUGUUGAAGAAGAAAAAAAAUUAGGGAGGCCAUUGUGCCUGGAAUCAAGACUUGUUAUAAAUCCAUAGUGUUUCAAAGAAAGAAAUUAUAUUCUAGAGGUAGACCAAAAGGCCAGUAUAUUAGAAUAUAGAACCAAGAAAUAGAUCCACACACAUACUAAUAUUUGACAUAUGAGAGAUGUGGGGUUUUUUUGGAUUAAUGGAAAUGACCAUGAAUUUCAAUAAUUGUUAGGAAAUUAAGUAUCCAUUUGGGAUAAAAAUAAAAUUUACCUCUAUCUCACACUAUUUACAAAAGUAGUUCCUUGAUGAUGAAAGUUUGAAGGUUAACAAAUUUAUAAAGACUUUAAGGAUAACUUAGUAAAAUAUCUUUCUAUUCUCAGACACAAAAUAUGUUCUUAAAAUAUUAAAGUACUAACCAUAUUUAAAUAGCACAUUCAACUAUACUUAAGAAGUUUUGCUUGUUAAAAAACACUUGAGGAGUUCGCUGAUGCCCCAGUGGGUAAGGGUCCAGUGUUGUCACUGUGGUUGCUGCUGUAGUUCAGGUUCAAACCCUUGGCCGGGAACUUCCAUAUGCUGCAAGUGCAGCCAAAAAAGAAAAAAUGUUAGAAGCUUUUAAACAGAUAUUACAUCAAAAGUUAUAUUUAUAUAGUUGAAAUAUUAAUGGGAACUCAAUUUUUUUCAGUAAUCAUGGAAAGAACAACUGAAAUAACAAUGAAAUAUAAUCUUCAGUGAAUUUAUUGGAAAAAUUAAGAAUCUGGUCCAUUCCAAUUAACGGUGAGAAUUUUAAGUUCCGCGAGCUCUUACACAUUACUGGUUGGAAAUUACAUUGUUUCAAAUGAUUUAAUGUACAGCUUUUCAUGGCUUUGCAAAUUUGAAGAUAGUCACACUUUUGACACAAUAUUUCAAUUAUCAGUAAUAUAGCCUCGAGAAACCUUUACAUAUAAAUCUUUAGCAUGUAUCUUCAACAGAUUUAUAAGGAAAGCCAAUGAUCUAACUCUUAGCAUGGUUAAAUAUGAGGUUUGCAUAAAAGUAUUAUUUAAUUUUAACAUUUUGAAUAUAUUAUCCAUUUUAUAUGAUGCAUUUUAUGCCUUUAAAAUUGUAUCAUAGAGCAUCAUACAUAUGAUAUAUUUUAUCAUUUCAAAAUGUUAGGGGAAAUGAUGGAUUCUAAUUUAAUACCAAAUUAUACUCUAAGGAUUCAUUUCAUUGCAAUAUUCUAUGCAAAUAAAUGUGAAAACAUGGGUUAGAUGGAUAAUUUAAUUGAAAAAGAGAGUUUACCAGAACUGUCAGCAGAAAAGCUAUAAACCUAUACAAAUAGCUUUGAAUAAUUAAAGAAACAAACUUCCCCAAAGUAAACAUCAAGCCUGUAUGACUUCUUUUAGGAAUAAUGAAUUUUUCCAUUUUAGAAAUCCUACUCUCCACAUCAACUAAUCAGAGGAGAAGCUAUCAGCUAAAUAGCUACAUCAAAUCCAUUUGAUAAAAUAAAGCAUCCAUUCUUGGGGAGGACCAGGAAGAAACUGAUGGACAUUUUCUUCCAUUAAAAUACAAAAAACAAAAACAAAAAAAAACUGGAGGUUAAAGCAAAACAAGAUUCACAAGAAAUAUUUUCAUUAUUGUUAAGAAAAAAGAGACUCAUUAAUAGAAUAAGUUUUUCAUGGUCUCUG